UACGUAGGGGGCAAGCGUUGUCCGGAAUUAUUGGGCGUAAAGCGUCCGCAGGUGGCACUUCAAGUCUGUCGUCAAAGACUGGGGCUUAACCCUGGAAAGGCGGUGGAAACUGAAGCGCUAGAGUGCGGUAGGGGUAGAGGGAAUUCCCGGUGUAGCGGUGAAAUGCGUAGAGAUCGGGAAGAACAUCGGUGGCGAAAGCGCUCUGCUGGACUGCAACUGACACUCAGGGACGAAAGCUAGGGGAGCGAAUGGG
RNAcentral lists this ribosomal RNA (253 nucleotides) under uncultured bacterium. Its description in RNAcentral is "partial 16S ribosomal RNA". It matches the Rfam family "Bacterial small subunit ribosomal RNA", at positions 524 to 776 of the family's 1533-position model. The record is from RNAcentral.